GAGGACGUCUCGGGGCCUCCACUCCGCGGCUGCAGGGACGGGAUUCUGACUUCGCUCCCUAGUGCCUUCCGCAUAGCGGAAGUCUCGGUUUAUCUGGAGUUAAUUCUACUUAGGAGUCAGCUAAGCACUUCCUGUUGUACCUACAAAUGCAAGCCACCAGAGCCAGGUAAUCAAGGAGUGUCCUCUGAGGUGCAGCCACAAAAACUGGGACACCAGACAUGUACACAAGCUCCUUUCUGGGAUACUGCUGAUCUGGAGUUGAGGCAGAGAGAGAGCUGAAAGAUGUACCCACCGGCCCCUCUGGUAUCUGAAGAGUAUUAUGUCAGCACCCAGAUAUGUUUUAAAUUAGAAGCCUACCCAUCAGCCCAAAGCUUUGAAGGUAAAUAGAGGCUGUGUCUUGCCAAAAAGAAGAUUCCAACAAAUG
Long non-coding RNA from Manis javanica (Malayan pangolin), 424 nucleotides. RefSeq lists it as uncharacterized. Lineage: Eukaryota; Metazoa; Chordata; Mammalia; Pholidota; Manidae. The record is from RefSeq and is a predicted model, not a curated record.